Molecule: long non-coding RNA, 1296 nt
Organism: Panthera uncia (snow leopard)
Lineage: Eukaryota; Metazoa; Chordata; Mammalia; Carnivora; Felidae
Exons: 6
Source: RefSeq, a predicted model, not a curated record
CCUCAGUUUUUAGUUAGCUUGAAUCACUGGGCUGUGGCUCAGAAGCACUUCAUACCUUCCCCCCACCGCCACCUUUUUUUCUCUCUUUACAUAAGACAGAAUGGAUAGAGGGGUAAGGAGUUGUCUAACUGCCCUUCCGCAGGUCACAUAAUGCUCUGAUAAUAUUGGCUCCCCUGGAUGGUAAACUUUCAUUAUGGAGACAGCUCUGGGCAUAUUUCAAAAUGGUUACUUAUAUUCUAAGUAUAUUUCAAAAUGGGAACUUCUCUCCUCUGCCUGUACUAAAUACUAGGGAGAUAUUUCUGCAACUCUCAGUGAGUACCUUGUAAGGUUACUAAAGAUAAAACCCAUAGAAAUUUAGGACCACCACUAGGACUGGACCCCAGGAGUCUCUAUCUGUCAAGCCAGUGCACAUUCAGCCUGCAGAAAUUCAUCAAAGUUACCGGUUAAGUGUUUUUACCAGUUACUGGCUCCAGCCAAUUCAGCUCCAGGACAAAGAAGGAAGCGGAGGCUGGGGGACAAUCGAAAUAACUCUUCAAGUUUAUCAGAGUUUCACAUAUUGGCAUAAAAGAGCACCAAGGACUUGGAGAAUCCAUUUUAAUAUCAUCUAUCACCAAACAACACAAUCCAAACCCUCAGUUCAGGAAAAACAUAAGUUGGGUCAUUGGAUAAAGUUGUACAAAAAGAAAAAGACUCCCUCGAGCCAAUAUACAGCAUUGAUUCCAUUAGUGAUAGUGAAAGUCAUCCUACACAAUAACCCUCCUCUCUUGUCUCCCUCACACUAACCAAGUUUUUCAAAGGACCAUGAUAAGCCACUGAGUACCCUUGUUGAAGAUAGAAAAUAAAGUCUUCUUCCAAGUAGAUACAACCUCAUGCUGUUUGAGUGUCAUCAUGGAGGCAGCUGAGCUCCUAGAGGAAGGUCACUCUGUUUCAAGGACUUGUCAAUGGACUGCAAGCAGCCGUCAGAAAUGCCUGAGGAAUACCACAUGUAUCCCACCUGGAGGUGGGGUUUGUGCUAGCUUGUGCUUUGCCUUCAGCUUGGCUUAUGCUCCCUCAUCAAUAUCACUAUUUUCAGAAAUUUACAUUCUUAUCUAUGCAUUUCCAAUAAAAUGGCAGGUGGAAAAUCUUCCAAUUAUUUCUGUAAGUCUAAUAUGAUGUUCUGUCAAAUAUCUCCUAUUUACUCCUCCAGAUUCAUCCUCUAUGCCUUAGUGAAUGUUCUGUAUGAAUUAUGUCAUCUGGUUCCUUGCCUUCUGACUUGUGGUUGAUUUCAGCCAACACUUAGCCCCAGAAUGCGAUUGA